ACGAAGGGGGCAAGCGUUGUUCGGAAUUACUGGGCGUAAAGGGCGCGUAGGCGGCCGAUCAAGUCAGGCGUGAAAUUCCCGGGCUCAACCUGGGGGCUGCGUUAGAUACUGAUUGGCUUGAAUGCGGGAGAGGAUAGUGGAAUUCCCAGUGUAGAGGUGAAAUUCGUAGAUAUUGGGAAGAACACCAGUGGCGAAGGCGGCCAUCUGGACUGCAACUGACGCUGAGGCGCGAAAGCGUGGGGAGCAAACAGGA
Molecule: ribosomal RNA, 253 nt
Filed under: uncultured prokaryote
Description: partial 16S ribosomal RNA
Rfam family: Bacterial small subunit ribosomal RNA
Source: RNAcentral